AUUCACACUCUUUUCGGGUUU
RNAcentral lists this non-coding RNA (21 nucleotides) under Arabidopsis thaliana (thale cress). Lineage: Eukaryota; Viridiplantae; Streptophyta; Magnoliopsida; Brassicales; Brassicaceae. The record is from RNAcentral.